UACGUAGGGUGCGAGCGUUAAUCGGAAUUACUGGGCGUAAAGCGUGCGCAGGCGGUUUUGUAAGUCAGGUGUGAAAUCCCCGGGCUCAACCUGGGAAUGGCAUUUGGGACUGCAAGGCUGGAGUACGGCAGAGGAGACUGGAAUUCCUGGUGUAGCAGUGAAAUGCGUAGAUAUCAGGAGGAAUACCGAUGGCGAAGGCAGGUCUCUGGGCUGAUACUGACGCUCAUGCACGAAAGCGUGGGGAGCAAACAGG
RNAcentral lists this ribosomal RNA (253 nucleotides) under uncultured bacterium. RNAcentral describes it as "partial 16S ribosomal RNA". It matches the Rfam family "Bacterial small subunit ribosomal RNA", at positions 524 to 776 of the family's 1533-position model. The record is from RNAcentral.